CCUGUGGAGAAACAAUGAGCAGUUAUGUAAAUUUCAAAAGUACCAACAAAACCAUUUGGGCAAAUAUUAGGUCACAAGCAUCCAUCCAUCCAUCUAUUUUCUGAGCCGCUUCUCCUCACUAGGGUCGCGGACGUGCUGGAGCCUAUCCCAGCUAUCAUCGGGCAGGAGGUGGGGUAUACCCUGAACUGGUUGCCAGCCAAUCGCAGGGCACAUACAAUCAAACAACCAUUCACACUCACAUUCACACCUACGGGCAAUUUAAAGUCUUCAAUUAACUUACCAUGCAUGUUUUGGGGGUGUGGGAGGAAACCGGAGUGCCCGGAGAAAACCCACGCAGGCACGGGGAGAACAUAUAAACUCCACACAGGCGGGGCCGGAUUUGAACCUUGGUCCGCAGAACUGUGAGGCAGAUGUGCUAACCAGUACGUGCCGCCCAAAUACUUUGUUAUUGUACUAAUUAAGUAGAUUUUACAGGUAUCUCUACUUAGCUUUGUCAUGGGUGUGUGUUCUGGUUUGAGUCUUGCCCCUGUCUCGUACACACCGGCUCCUGAGAGCAUCUUCACCACCUGUGCCUCGUUCACCCUAAUUACCCCUUGCAUUUAACCUCGUGUCUUAUUCUUUCUCGUCGCCAGUUCAUUGUACCUUGUCGUCGCGCUCCAGCAUUCCUUCUUUCCACGUCACAGACUCACAAAUUUGACCAUGAUGGUAACAGCAAUGGCAACCAGCAUCAGAAAGAAGAGUGUUAGGCCCACGGCGAGACCUACGGGGGAAUUAGGGCCGGCACAUGUGGUGCCGUUUCCAGGGACACAAGUGUUAUUCACCUGCAUGACCUGCAAAGAAGAAAAACAAAAAAAAUGAACCACAAAAACAUGGUGCGAUUGUCAAGGAUGAAGCGGAUUGCCCUGGCCGCUGUCGCAGUAUAAUAUUAAACAAAGAGAGCAAACGGGUGAGAAAUAAAAGCAAGAGUGGAUAUUUAAGAGGCUGUUGGCAAUGCUCACCCCAUUCACUGACGGCAGUUGUGCAUUUCGUCGACAGAUACUCUCCACAGGUACAUACAAAAUUAUAACUAUAGUCAAGUACGUAGUAUUGUAAAAAAAACAACAGCUUGGCAGCAGCCAUCUUCGCACCCAGAAACACAAUUUUUAUUGUGAAAGUCGCCAUGGCAUUUUUGAUUGACUGUUGCAUCUGUGACAUCACGCUGUGAUUCAAAAUUUAGAAUCACGGCCAAACUAGUGGCUGACAGUCAGCCACUCAUGACAACUAGUUGCUAAAAACCUCACACUGUGCAUGACAGUUCAGUGUCGUUCGGUCGCUCAGCAUGUGGCUGGCAUUAGGAUUCCCACACUGAACAUAUUAGGUAAGGUAAUUGGUAUAUAACCACACACGGGUAUGAGCAGAACCCAAACAGAGUACACCAAACCACAGUAAGCCCAAGCGUCUCUGCAGACUUGGGAAGGGUACGAGAGCCUGGACAUCUAAUGUUCCGCAAUCCACUGGCAGCACAAUAGGGAAACUCGCACUCCGUUGUCAUCGCAGCACAACACCAAACAGCCACGUGGACAGGCAAACAGAAAGCAGGAAGGGCCAAGGCAGAACCUAUAGUCAGGCACAGAAGGCUGAGAUGAUAACCAGGAAAACGAUGAGGCAGGAAGGUCAGAGGCAGGCAGAGUCAACAACGAGAGAUCAAUCCAAAGAGGAGUGCUGGAGAGUUUUGCAUGAGAGUGAAAUAAUUUGGCAAAAAGAAAGUAUGCAGGAGAGGCUAGGAAGAGUGGAACAGUGGAAAGGUGAAUGGAAAAACACUGAGAGCACUCGGGUACUGUAAAACAUACAUCCAUCCAUUUUCAACACCGCUUAUCCUGUUUAGGGUCACGGGGCGCUGGAGCCUAUCCCAGCUGACUUCGGGCAAAAAGCGGUAACAAAAAACGCUUGUAAUAUAUCUCAAUAUUUUUAUAAGUGGAGACAAUUUGGAAUUUGGUAUUUUAGCAAGAAACACAAAGUCGAUGCACACUCUCGCAGGCCACAUAAAAUUACGUGGUGGGCCGGAUCUGGCCCCCGGGCCACCAGUUUAACACCUGUGCACUACACAAUCAGUGACCUUACUGUAAAACAAUGGAGCCCAAUUGUGAUAUGUCUAAUACUGUACGUAAAUGCAGCUCAGGCCUGGUAAGCACAUAAAAGUAAUCAGGCUGUUUUUGUCCCAAUUUUGCCUCUGCACGACUAAAGAUGACAAACACCAGACUAUCUUAUGUCUUAUAUGAUUUUCCCAUAAGAUUAUCCUGUCGUUUGAGGUGUGUUCAGAGUGAAUUUCUCACGAUUAUAGGGUCCGAAACUGGUCAGGGCCGACAAUUUUAUUUAUUUUUUUAUAUUAAACGUGUUCAAUAUUUAUGACAGAAACUUUUCAUAUCGGGAAAGCUGACGUCUCCCAAAACAUGACUCCGUCAAUUGUGAUGUGAAACGGAAUAUAGCGACCUGACUGAGGAACAAGGCAACGGGCGUAAAUAAUAAUAAUAUAUAUAUUUUUUAAAUUAAAAAAACAUGCCCUACCCAAAGUCGUAUUUUGUAUUUGUGGAUUCACUAGAUGGCAAGAAGUAUUUUCCAAAAUCUUUACUGAAAACAUCACCAUUCACGCCCACCUCCGGUCCCUUUGGCAACACUCAAGAAACAUCGGCAGAAUUAUUUUCUAUCCUGCAGUAGUGUUCUUGACAUAAUUCUAAAAAAUAUGGAGAUUGAGACAAAUUGUUCUGGAGUGAAUUUCUAUAGGUUGGCAGCUCUGAAUUCAUAGCCAUAAAUGCAGUUUUAAUAAUAAUUAUCAUAAUAAUCUUCAGAUGGAGCCAAAUAAAUAACAAAUGAUUUUAACAGUGAACCACAGCUAUUAGCAGGGACUAUGGACUGAGCCCUGCUGCAAAUAGUAAAAAUCUGCUAGUAAUUGGCGCUACUCUGUAAAAAGGUUAAUAACUGUCUAUAGAAGCCACAAGAUGGCGAACACUUUCACUGCUUUCCCAUGAGCACAAAAAGAACUAAUAACAGAAGAUAGGUACCCCAAAACAUUUCAUGAAAAGACAAAUUCGCGAAUGCCAAAACGCAGAUAUGCACUGGUAUUGGGAGUUUUUAUAGCAUGAUAAUUCACACUGUUCAAAGGAUUGCUGUUGCACUUGUAUACAUCAUGUUACAGUUUCCUUAAAAGGAAAGAUUGAAGCUGUUGAAGUUUCAUUUUAAAAAGUCGUUACAUGAAUUCCUGUUUACAUAAAAGAUAAGCACUUUGUUCUCUAUUCUGUUCCCUUAGUGUACACCGAACCGAACCAUGACCUUAAAACCAAGGUACAUACCGAACUGUGAUUUUUGGCGUACUGUUACACCACUGGACAAUCUACAUUUCAUGUAUAUGGUUUCUCCAUUUUAACUGGCUGUCCAAUAUGGCCCGUAAUGAAAAACUUUGACACCCACUGUGUAAUCAAAAGAAAAUUAUAAACAAGAUCUGUAUUUUUUACAUUUAAAUUGUACUUGUUAAGUUCUCACUACCUUUUCUUCUCCUAUCAUGUUGCUCUAAGACCAGAAGAGAGAUCAUUAAAGCCUGUUUUUAUCAAACAUUCUGCCUUUACAAAGAGUAUAAUGCUCAGUUUUGAUUGACACUGUAGCUGUCGUUUGCCAAAUUUGACAUUCGUCUUAAAUACAUUAAGAAAAUGACAACCAAUUUAGAUGAUAAUAAUCUUAUAGGGCGGCACAGUGGUGACUGGUUAGAGCGUCUACCUCCCAGUUCUGAGGACCGGGGGUUCGAUCCCCGGCCCCGCCUGUGUGGAGUUUAGAUGUUCUCCCCGUGCCUGCGUGGGUUUUCUCCGGGCACUCCGGUUUCCUCCCACAUCACAAAAAACGUGCAUGGUAAAUUAAUUGACAACUCUAAAUUACCCGUAGGUGUGAAUGUGAUUACAAAUGGUUGUUUGUUUCUAUGUACCCUGCGAUUGGCUGGCAACCAGUUCAGGGUGUACCCUGCCUCCUGCCCGAUGAUAGCUGGGAUGGGCUCCAGCACGCCCGCGACCCUCGUAAGGAGAAACGGCUCAGAAAAUGGAUGGAUGAAUAAUCUUAUAGGGCCUAAUUUUAACUCGAUUUUUGUUCUUCUGAAAGUCACUUCUUUUCAUCGGUAUUCACGUUACCACACAUAAAAGGUUCACUUGCUGAAACUGCCUUUAAUGCUCAAUUAAAUAGAUGAAUACAUUCUGUAAUUGUUGUAUUGGCAGGACAUCAAGUACAGCAAGUGCAAGACUUUUUUUCUUGGCCUAGAGAUUCAAAAUAAACA
This is a long non-coding RNA of Phyllopteryx taeniolatus (common seadragon), 4291 nucleotides long. RefSeq lists it as uncharacterized. The record is from RefSeq and is a predicted model, not a curated record. NCBI's taxonomy places the organism in Eukaryota, Metazoa, Chordata, Actinopteri, Syngnathiformes, Syngnathidae. The transcript has 3 exons.